GUGGGGACGGAACGCCUGGGAGGCCCUGUGGGUGCCGUGCCGAGCCGCGGAGGGGUGGGGACUACGGAGCUUGCCUCCGAGCCCGGGGAGAGAAGGCAGGCAGAGCCCUUUCCCCAAGACCAGAGACCAGCUCCCCACGCCCUUCCUAUCCAAUAAUACUUUUCUUGCUAAGUCACCGCGGGAGGAGGGCGAUCCCCUGCCGACAGGGCCGCGGGGAAGAGUCGCGACGGUCCCGGCGGCCCCCGAACCCGGGCCUGAAGGACGCAAACCCUCGGGCCGCUGUUCAAUCGCUCCCUCACUCGCUAUCUCGGCCGUCGGACUCCGCCGCCGCCCCGCCGCUCCAGCUCCGUCUGUCACAGGAGCUGCCCCAGCGCCCUGACGUCACCGCGCCGCCGCCGCCCCAGACCCGCCAGGAAGAGGGAGGGGAGCGGAGGAGGGGCUGCGGCGCAUGCGCGGGCGCGGCUGGGCCCCUGAGUCGCCGUCUUCGUCCUGGCGAGCGGGCGAUCGCGGCCAGUGCUACUUGGCGGUACGGAGUGGCCGGUGGGCGAGCGUGCGCACGAGGCCCUGCUUUUCACGUCCCUCGUGCCGCUAUAACCUUGGAAGAGCCCCUUUUUUCCUCGACUCUGUUGUGUCCCCUCACGAACUCUGGUCCCACUCACCUAACCGCCCCGCUUUUGCCCCACUGCAUGCUGCGCUCUCUCCGCUUCCCCGGCGGACAGCGGGGACCAGUCGGCGCCCCUGCAUCCCGGCCCCGGAUUGUGGGUGAUCAUCUCCUGGAAGCAAGAAGUCAUGGAGGAGAACUCUUCUGCAGGAUAGGAGGAGAAAAAGGGUCUCUGUAUGUAGCCAAGUUGGCCUCAAACUCACCAGGAUUCUUCUGCCUCAGCCUCCCAAGUGACGGGAUUACAGGUUCUUGAGUGCUGGGAUUAACAGGCAUGUGCCACCGUGUCCAGCCUAUGAUGAACAUUUCUGAACAUAAUUUUUUGUUACAUUGUGCUGCUUACUUCCUUAAGAUAGAACCCCAAAAUUAGGGUUACUAGGCCAAAAGAUAAGGUCUUUUAAUUUGUUUAUUUGUUUGUACUGGGAAUUGAACCCAGGGCCUUCACACUGUGCUACAUCUCUGGUUUGUUUGUUUGUUUAUUUAUUUAUUUAUUUACAUAUAAAUUUUGAAACUAGAUCUCACUAAGUUGAUAGACAGCUCAAGAUGAGCUCAAAUUUGCAAUCCUCCUGCCUCAACCUCUCAGAGGGCUGGGUUUAUAGUCAUGCUCAACCAUACCCAGCCCUUUCUUCUUUUUAAAUCGACUACCUCGGGUUUUUGGGUUUGUUUUGUUUUGGUUUUUUAUUUUUUUGAGACAGGGUCUCACUAUGUAGCCCAGGCUGGCCUCCAACUCAUGACGAUCCUCCUGCCUCAGCCUCCCAGGUGCUAGGAUUACAGGCAUGUACCACCAUACCCAGCUUAUCUCAGGUAUUUUGUCACAGUGAUGGAAAGCUGACUAACACAACUGUGAUGAAAUGGCACACCUGGAUUUGAGCAACAAUGAUACAGUAGAAGGAGGAUUUAUACUAUCUGGAUUUGAACAUCAAUGUAAUCUGAAUUUUGUUAUAAGGUGAAUGUAUUCUUACACUCUCUGGGCCAGUUGAAGCCAGAGCUGCAGGCAGUUCUAGCCCAUGAGAACUGCCAAUAUCAUAAAAUGGGCCACACAGGGAAACACUGCAGAGGUGCAGUGGCACAUGCUGAAGCAGAGGGAUUACAAAUUUAAGACCAGCCUAGUCAACUGAGACUCUCAAAAUACAUAAAAAGGGCUGACAAUGUAGCUCAGUGGUAGAGUGCUUACCUAGCAUGCACAAGACCUUCAGUUCAAUCCCCCUACUGGGGGGAGAAAAGUUAAAAAAAAAAACCAAACAAAUAAUCUCAUGGAUUGUACACUCUAGAUCUAGUUAUUCUGAAACUAUUUCCAUACUUUGUUCUUUAUAAGAUUUAGAAAUAUGAGCUACUAAAACAAAAAAGAAAAAGAAAAAGUAUGAGCUACUAAAUUUAACCCCACUCCCCUCCACUAGUUUUUUAGGUUUGUUUGUUUAUUUGUUUGGGGUUUUUUGAGACUAUGUCUUGCCCUGUAGUCCUGGAUGGCCUUGAACUUUCGACAGUCCUCCUGCCUCAGCCUCCAGAGUGCUGGGAUUACAGGCUUGCAUUUGGCUAGUUUUUCUUAAAGUAGUUUGAAUUUGACUUGCAAUAGAAAGAAUCUUGGCCUAUAUUUAGGCAUGGAAGUAGGAAAAGAUAUCAGAUAUUAGAAUAAAUUUAUAUAAAAUAGUAUUUUAGCUGGUCAUAGUGGUGCACAUCUUUAGUCCCUCCUACUGGAGAGCCAGAGGCAAGAUCACUUGAGAUCAAGAGUUUGAGAUCAGCCUAGGCAACAUAGUAAAACCUUAUUUCAGGAAAACAAACAGUCCCACAAGGUGGCAUACACCUGUAAUACCAGCACUCAAGAGGCUAAUGCAAGAGGGUCACUGCAAGUUUGAGCCCAGCGUGUGCUACAUAGUGAGUUUAAGGCCAGCCUGGACUACAUAACAAGACCCUGUCUCUAAAAACCAAAGGGGAUGGGGGAAAGAAAAACAAACAAAACAAAAUAAAGAAAUAAAAUAGCAUUAAAAAUAUGAACCACUGGCCAUGGUGGCAUAUGCCUGUAAUCCUAGCACUUGGGAGGUUGAGGCAGGAUUGUCAUGAGUUCAAGGUCAGCCUGGGUUACAUAAUGAGUUCACAGCCAGCCUGAACUAUAGAGUGAGACUCUAUCUCAAAAAUAAAUGAAUAAACCAAUACCAUGUAGAAGUAUAGUUUGAAAUUACUAAAUAUACUGUCAAAAAGCAAGCUAUAGAAUGGAAAGAAAUUUUUAUAUGCAAGUGAUAUGUAGGAUAUAUAAAAAAGUACAACAGCAAAUAAUUUAAUAACUUGAUUUGAAAAUGACCAAAAGAUUUCAGCCUUCCAAAAAUGAUACACAAAUGGCCAAGAAGUAUAUGAGAUAGGAAACAGGGACAUAGCUCUUUUACAAAUGGGAAGGGGACCGAGAGAUGAAGGAAAGGGUGUGGGGGGAAGGGGACAUAAAAAGAAUGAAGAAUUAAAAUGUGUUACAUACAUGUACCAACUUCCCAUGAUGAAUGUAAUCAUUAUGUACUGCAAACGUACUAAUAAAAAUUAAAAAUUUUAUAAAGAAGCAUAUGAAUAGAUAGAUAUCACUAAUCAGAAGAGAAAUGCAAAUUAAAACCAGAUGCUACUUCACACCCAUUAUGAUGGCUACUGUGGAAGGAAAAAGGAAAGAGGAAGGAAGGGAGAGGGGCAGGGAAGAAGAAAAGAGAUCUGUCUUGUGUUCCCUAUCAUGAAUGUAUCACCUUGUAUUUAACCAUUCCCUACUGAUAAAUUUUAAAUUGUUUUAGUUUUUUUUCUAUUAAAAAAUCUCAAUAAAUAUUAUCAUUCAAUGAA
Molecule: long non-coding RNA, 3466 nt
Filed under: Heterocephalus glaber (naked mole-rat)
Lineage: Eukaryota; Metazoa; Chordata; Mammalia; Rodentia; Bathyergidae
Description: lncRNA (ENSHGLG00000045087.1)
Source: RNAcentral